GGUUGGAGGACCCUGGGCUGGGGCCUGAGGGGGAGAGGGUCGGGGGGGGCCCUCACGGGUGACUUAGGGGCCUGCUGGCUGGUGGGGUCCGGACCCGAGGGGGCUGCGGCGCAGCGGAAAGCAUCUGGCUCCUGGGCAGAGCGUCUGAUUGCGCGAGAGCCUUCAGGCCCGGAUAGCGCCGGGAGGGACAGCGUGGAGUGAUCGCCCCGUCCCGGAGCCCUGUGGGGCCACCUGUGCUCCUCACCCUCCGGUUGCCCGCAGGAUGCCGGCCCCUUCCAGCCCCACCCCAGCCUGGCGGGAGCAUCCUUUAAUGCGAGGCCUGCGGUGGUGGGCCGUGCACAAGGCGGAGAUCCUGCAUGUUUGCUGAUACUCUUCUGUGACCGGAUCUUGCCUGUACUGGGGGCGUGAGAGUCUGCGCCGGUGUUGGUUUGACGGCGGCACUGAGAGACAGGGUCAUCUUCAUGUGUCCUGGCUAGGAGAGAGGAGGGUCUCUGCACAGCAGUGUGGUGCCAGCGGCCGACCAGACAGAUGCAUGGGAAUAAGCGGACAUAGUGUCUUGUAGUUCUUUACAGCCCAUAUCACAAUUGUAAUGAAAUGUAGAAUUUGUUAAUGUCCGUCUCCUUGGCUAGAAUGUGUCAUAAGGCAGACUGCAGUCCUGCUCGUGGGGCAGCCACAGCGAUCUCAGGGCUGAUGGAGACAUCCUGUGCAUGUGUAUACCCCACAGUGUGCACAUCUUUCCUUUCAUCUUUCCUAGGGUGCGAAUAGCUAUGGGCAACUUGGCCUUGGUCAUAAGGAAGAUGUACUUUUGCCCCAGCAACUGAAUGACUUCUGUAAACCUGAGUGUAUCAGGAGGAUCACAGGAGGAGGGGGCCACUCUGCUGUGGUCACAGAUGGUGGAGGCCUUUUUGUUUGUGGUCUGAACAAAGACGGGCAACUGGGGCUUGGUCACACAGAAGAUGUUCUGUAUUUUACUGCCUGCAGGUCCCUCCUUGGCUGUCCUAUCCAACAGGUGGCCUGUGGCUGGGAUUUUACCAUUAUUCUCACAGAAAGUGGUCAAGUUCUGUCAUGUGGAUCCAACUCCUUUGGCCAGCUGGGGGUUCCUCAUGGCCCUCGAAGAUGUGUGGUUCCCCAGGCCAUUGAGCUCCUGAGAGAGAAGGUCGUUUGCAUUGCUGCUGGACUGAGGCAUGCUUUAGCUGCUACAGCAAGUGGCAUCGUGUUCCAGUGGGGGACUGGUUUGGCAUCAUCUGGACGGCGGUUGUGCCCCGGGCAGACUCUCCCACCGUUUUUGACAGCAAAGGAACCAAGCAGAGUGACAGG
Non-coding RNA from Leptonychotes weddellii (Weddell seal), 1317 nucleotides. The record is from RefSeq and is a predicted model, not a curated record. Lineage: Eukaryota; Metazoa; Chordata; Mammalia; Carnivora; Phocidae.